CACGUAGGGGGCGAGCGUUGUCCGGAUUUAUUGGGCGUAAAGAGCUCGUAGGCGGCUCGGUAAGUCGGGUGUGAAACCUCCAGGCUCAACCUGGAGACGCCACUCGAUACUGCCGUGGCUAGAGUCCGGUAGAGGAGCGUAGAAUUCCUGGUGUAGCGGUGAAAUGCGCAGAUAUCAGGAAGAACACCCGUGGCUAAGGCGGCUCUCUAGUACGGUACUGACGCUGAGACGCGAAAGCGUGGGGAGCGAACAGG
Molecule: ribosomal RNA, 254 nt
Filed under: uncultured prokaryote
Description: partial 16S ribosomal RNA
Rfam family: Bacterial small subunit ribosomal RNA
Source: RNAcentral